UGGGUGCCCUGCACAGCCAGCAGGGGUAAAGGAGAUCCCUGCCUGUCCUGGUCUGCCUGUCCUGUCUAAUGAUGGGACAAGAAAAAGGCUGCCCACAGAAGUGGUUGUGUCACCAUUCCUGGAG
Long non-coding RNA from Strigops habroptila (Kakapo), 124 nucleotides. RefSeq lists it as uncharacterized. The transcript is spliced from 3 exons. NCBI's taxonomy places the organism in Eukaryota, Metazoa, Chordata, Aves, Psittaciformes, Psittacidae. The record is from RefSeq and is a predicted model, not a curated record.